Nomascus leucogenys (northern white-cheeked gibbon) is the source of this 838-nucleotide long non-coding RNA. RefSeq lists it as uncharacterized. The record is from RefSeq and is a predicted model, not a curated record. NCBI's taxonomy places the organism in Eukaryota, Metazoa, Chordata, Mammalia, Primates, Hylobatidae. The transcript has 5 exons.
UUAUGUUUCAACAUGAGGUUUAGAGGGGACACCGAUCCAGACCAUAUCAUCACCCCAGGGAUUCUGACUCCCCCAGAUCUGCAGUGGGGCCUAAGGCUCUGUAUUUCUAACAAGCUCCCGGUUGAGCCCAAGCUGCUGUUGUUCCUAAGCACCGCUGACCAACGCUACGUGCUCGUUCAACCCCCUCAAGGUGCUCUGAAGAUUCCUCGAAAAUACAUCUCAGAAAUUCCUUUGAUAUCCCGGAUUAUUCUCCAGCCUACCUAGUUAUAAAUGAAUCUGCGUGUGUCUCAGUCUGUGCUGAUAAGACGGAUGGAGUCCUCCUUUCCUUACAGUAACGGUCUCACUGUUUUGCCCACUGACACUGGUCUUGAACUCCUGGGCUCAAGCAGUCUUCUCGCCUUAGCCUCCCAAAGUGCUGGGAUCACAGAUGAGAGCUACCGAUCCCAGCUAUCAUUGUUCUUAAUCAAUGGUAGCAAUGUUUUUUUUUAAUGGAGGGAGGGGUAAAAUUUGUCAGUUAUAUGUUUGUUUGUUGAAUGCAUGGGCUCUGAGGAUUAGACACCAGGCACUGUGCUAAACACAUUGUAUCCGCUGUCACUGGAUCUCCACCAUGACUCUCAGAAGAAGAAGGAAUGCUCAUUCCACCCACUGAGAUGGCUUUCAAAUGGAAAGUAGAAUCCAGCACAUAUUCUGUCUUUGGAAAAUUGCUCCAGAUGUAUCCUCAGAACAAUCCAGCCCUAUCGUCACUUUCCACAGCCACUGCUUGGCACCUGUGGUAGCUCUGAGAGACUCCGUUAUGCGUGUGGCAUCAACUGUUUUUUCUAGCAGCCUUGGGUGAGUA